RNAcentral lists this small nuclear RNA (300 nucleotides) under Peromyscus maniculatus bairdii (prairie deer mouse). RNAcentral's name for it is "7SK RNA (ENSPEMG00000002329.2)". It matches the Rfam family "7SK RNA". From Rfam's summary of the family: 7SK was discovered as an abundant small nuclear RNA in the mid-70s but a possible function has only recently been suggested. Lineage: Eukaryota; Metazoa; Chordata; Mammalia; Rodentia; Cricetidae. The record is from RNAcentral.
GGAGAUAAGGGCUAUCCAACUGUUAUAUUUGUCACCCCAUUGAUCAUCAGGAUUAACGCGGCUGAUUUGCUGAGCUAAGCAGGUGUCCACUUCCUCUCUCACUGCUCGUGUGUACCUUUUGCAAGCUGUACUCGAUUGAAGAGGACAGUCUUUCCUAAUAGAAGAGGCCCACUCUUUGGUCAAGGGUAUAUGAGGAUCUGGAUUCCCCGGGAAGAACCUCUAAACAAGCUCCUAAGGUAAGUGCUCUGCCACUGAGUUAGAUCUGCAGUGCCCUAAAUAGUGUGCAACCAGUGUUUUUAU